Molecule: ribosomal RNA, 468 nt
Filed under: uncultured bacterium
Lineage: Bacteria
Description: partial 16S ribosomal RNA
Rfam family: Bacterial small subunit ribosomal RNA
Source: RNAcentral
GACGAACGCUGGCGGCGUGCUUAACACAUGCAAGUCGAACGGAAAGGCCCUGCUUUUUGGGGGUGCUCGAGUGGCGAACGGGUGAGUAACAAGUGAGUAACCUGCCCUUGACUUUGGGAUAACUUCAGGAAACUGGGGCUAAUACCGGAUAGGAGCUCCUGCUGCACGGUGGGGGUGGGAAAGUUUCGGCGGUUGGGCCUGGACGCGCGGCUUAUCAGCUUGUUGGUGGGGUAGUGGCUUACCAAGGCUUGGAAGGGUAGCCGGACUGAGAGGGUGACCGGCCCCAGUGGGCCUGGGGUACGAGCCGUACGGCAACGUGCGGCAUGGGCGGAAGACUGUCCGCGCUACGCCGAAGCCGGAUGGAGCACCUCCGCGUUCUGAAUGUCGGUCUACGGGUUGUAAACCGCUUCUUCCGGUUACGAAGCGGGAGUGACGGUAACGGGUAAAGAAGCAACGGCUAACUACGUG